This 69-nucleotide transfer RNA is filed under the name Sigmops gracilis (slender fangjaw). RNAcentral describes it as "tRNA-Gly". Lineage: Eukaryota; Metazoa; Chordata; Actinopteri; Stomiiformes; Gonostomatidae. The record is from RNAcentral.
AUCUCUCUAGUACUAAAUAGUAUAAGUGACUUCCAAUCACACGGUCUUGGUUUAACCCAGGGAGAGAUA